AUGGGGCAGGAAGGCACAAGCAGGAGGGUGCACGGGGCAGGGAGGUGCAUGGGGUGGGGGGGCACACGGGGCAGGAAGGCACGGGCACGGGGUGCCCGGGGGUGCAGCUGGCAGCUGGCUGCAGGGCACGCAGGCGGUGAAGGGCACGGAGCCCCGCGCACCCACCUGCUCGUCCCGGCUGGUGACGGAGGUGAGCUGCGCCUGCUUGGAGAGGCAGAACUCCUUCGCCUCGCGCCAGGGCUUCUGGUCCCCCGAGAAGUAGUAGAUCUUCCCCUUGUGGUACCUCCAGCCCAGGCCCAGCCCCUGCAGCCACCGCCCUGGGGACAGCGGCGGGGCUCGGUGCCACGGCCCCGCGGCCGUGCCGUGGGGCACAGGGGGGCACGCGGGGGAGGCACGGCCCUGCCCCGUCCCCUUGGGGUCUGUCCACACGUCCCAACGUUACCCAAAAAGUCCCUGCGCCUCUGUGCCACGUCGGGGCUGUCACCGGGGCUCCGUGAACCUGGCCGGGGGACAGCAGGGACAGGAGCCGUGGCACAGCCCUGCCCGCACCCCGGUGCCGCCGGGCGCACUCACCAUCGGGGCCGGGCGGCAGCAGCGGCCCCAGCGCCUCCAGCUCUGCCCGUGCCACCCGCAGCUCCGCCUGGUCCCGUGCGCCUGGGGAGGGCGGGGGGGGGUCAGGGCAGCCCCAGCCUCCUGCCUGCCCCCCACGGGGUGAGGGUCCCCAGCCCGGCCGCACUUACGCAGGGUGGCGACGGCCGUCAGGGCGGCCCCCAGGGCCAGGAGGGCCGCCAAGCCCACGGCCAGCAGAGUGCCCAGCACCCGGCGGGACGGGGACGGCCGGGACCCGAAAUCCAGCACUGCGGAGAGACGGCAGAGGGGUCCUCAGCCGGCGCUGAUCCGGACCCCCCAGGACCCAGCACCCCCGGGCCCCCAGCCCCACGGAGAGGAGCCCCGGGGCUGGAGGGGGAGCCCCGCGGGCCCACCUUGCUCACCGUGCGGGUAGCGGAUCUGCAGGUUCUCGUACAGGUCCGGCCCCUCGGUGGCCAUCCCGUAGCUGGCCGAGCCCACAGCCGCUUCCUCCCGGAGCCCUGCGCGUGGCAGCCCCAGCGACCGAAACUGCCAGGAAAGGGAAGGCGGCAGCCGGGGGGGCACGGCACUGCUUGGGGUGCCACCGCCCAGGCUGGACAGGGAUUCCCCCGUCCCAAAGGGACAGACCUCCACGCAGGGCUUGUGGCCACAUCCCGGCUUGCUGCCCAUGGCCGGCCACCCCACGGGGCCACCCUGCAUGGGGGAUCCCUGUCCCCCACCCCACGGCCAGCCCUGGCCGGUGGUGACCCAGGGGUGGCUCCCGUGGGGACACAUCGGGCUCGUGGGGACGGCACGGGGGGACAGCCCCAGCCCUGCUCAGCCGCAGGCGCAGCAGCACAGGGGGGACCCCUCGGGGCUUGGUGCAGGCAGCACCCGUGUCCUCAGGGGGAGCAGGGCCAGGUCCCCAGCAUGUCCCCAGGGGGAGCAGGGCCACGUCCCCGACGUGCCCAGGGGACACUGCCCAGCUCCAUCACCCCUCGCCUGGCCUGCGCUGCCUCCCGGCCACCCAGCGCCAACCCUGCCCCCAUACCAGCCUUGCCCCUGCCCCAGCCCUGGUUUUGUUCCCGAGCACAUCCCCACCGCAGCCGCGUUCCGCUUUUUGCCCUCAGACGCAGAAUCGCGUCCGGGAACCCCUGGCAAGCAGCGCAGAUGUUACGCCUCGCUUCUCGUUAG
Anser brachyrhynchus (Pink-footed goose) is the source of this 1761-nucleotide long non-coding RNA. The record is from Ensembl. NCBI's taxonomy places the organism in Eukaryota, Metazoa, Chordata, Aves, Anseriformes, Anatidae.